CGCCUUGCCAGCAGCCGCGGUGAUACGGAGGGUGCAAGCGUUAAUCGGAAUAACUGGGCGUAAAGGGCAUGCAGGCGGUUCAUCAAGUAGGAUGUGAAAUUCCCGGGCUCAACCUGGGAACAGCAUACUAAACUGGUGGACUAGAGUAUUGCAGGGGGAGACGGAAUUCCAGGUGUAGCGGUGGAAUGCGUAGAUAUCUGGAAGAACACCAAAGGCGAAGGCAGUCUCCUGGGCAAAUACUGACGCUCAUAUGCGAAAGCGUGGGUAGCAAACAGGAUUAGAUACCCUGGUAGUCCACGCCGUAAACGAUGUCAAUUAGGAGCUUGGGGGUUCCGCAGCUAACGCAAUAAAUUGACCGCCUGGGGAGUACGGCCGCAAGGUUAAAACUCAAAUGAAUUGACGGGGGCCCGCACAAGCGGUGGAGCAUGUGGUUUAAUUCGACGCAACGCGAAGAACCUUACCUGAUCUUGACAUCCAGGUGCUGCAUGGCUGUCGUCAGCUCGUGUCGUGAGAUGUUGGGUUAAGUCCCGCAACGAGCGCAACCCUUGUCCUUUGUUGCAACUCAAAGGAGACUGCCAGUGACAAACUGGA
RNAcentral lists this ribosomal RNA (591 nucleotides) under uncultured bacterium. RNAcentral's name for it is "bacterial SSU rRNA". It matches the Rfam family "Bacterial small subunit ribosomal RNA", at positions 501 to 1167 of the family's 1533-position model. The record is from RNAcentral.